RNAcentral lists this ribosomal RNA (468 nucleotides) under uncultured bacterium. RNAcentral's name for it is "partial 16S ribosomal RNA". It matches the Rfam family "Bacterial small subunit ribosomal RNA", at positions 28 to 507 of the family's 1533-position model. The record is from RNAcentral.
GACGAACGCAGGCGGCGUGCUUAACACAUGCAAGUCGAACGGUGAAGCUCCAGCUUGCUGGAGUGGAUCAGUGGCGAACGGGUGAGUAACACGUGAGCAACCUGCCCCUGACUCUGGAAUAAGCGCUGGAAACGGCGUCUAAUACUGGAUACGAGAAGGGUCCGCAUGGGCACUUUCUGGAAAGUUUUUCGGUUGGGGAUGGGCUCGCGGCCUAUCAGCUUGUUGGUGAGGUAAUGGCUCACCAAGGCGACGACGGGUAGCCGGCCUGAGAGGGCGACCGGCCACACUGGGACUGAGACACGGCCCAGACUCCUACGGGAGGCAGCAGUGGGGAAUAUUGCACAAUGGGCGAAAGCCUGAUGCAGCGACGCCGCGUGAGGGAUGACGGCCUUCGGGUUGUAAACCUCUUUCAGCAGGGAAGAAGCGAAAGUGACGGUACCUGCAGAAGAAGCACCGGCUAACUACGUG